CCUACGGGUGGCAGCAGUGGGGAAUAUUGCGCAAUGGGCGAAAGCCUGACGCAGCGACGCCGCGUGAGGGAUGAAGGUCUUCGGAUCGUAAACCUCUGUCAGCAUGGAAGAACGGUCACUGUGCUAAUCAGCAGUGAAUUGACGGUACCUGCAAAGGAAGCACCGGCUAACUCCGUGCCAGCCGCCGCGGUAAUACGGAGGGUGCGAGCGUUAAUCGGAAUUACUGGGCGUAAGGCGCUCGUAGGCGGUAUGUCAAGUCAAGGGUGAAAUCCCCGCGCUCAACGUGGGCACUGCCUUUGAAACUGGAAAACUGGAGUGUGUGAGAGGAUAGUGGAAUUCCAGGUGUAGGAGUGAAAUCCGUAGAUAUCUGGAGGAACAUCAGUGGCGAAGGCGACUAUCUGGCACAUAACUGACGCUGAGGAGCGAAAGCGUGGGUAGCAAACAGGAUUAGAUACCCUUGUAGUC
This 465-nucleotide ribosomal RNA is filed under the name uncultured bacterium. RNAcentral describes it as "partial 16S ribosomal RNA". It matches the Rfam family "Bacterial small subunit ribosomal RNA", at positions 338 to 795 of the family's 1533-position model. The record is from RNAcentral.